This 452-nucleotide ribosomal RNA is filed under the name uncultured bacterium. RNAcentral's name for it is "bacterial SSU rRNA". It matches the Rfam family "Bacterial small subunit ribosomal RNA", at positions 64 to 507 of the family's 1533-position model. The record is from RNAcentral.
GAACGGUAGCACAGAGAGCUUGCUCUCGGGUGACGAGUGGCGGACGGGUGAGUAAUGUCUGGGAAACUGCCCGAUGGAGGGGGAUAACUACUGGAAACGGUAGCUAAUACCGCAUAACGUCUUCGGACCAAAGUGGGGGACCUUCGGGCCUCACACCAUCGGAUGUGCCCAGAUGGGAUUAGCUAGUAGGUGGGGUAAUGGCUCACCUAGGCGACGAUCCCUAGCUGGUCUGAGAGGAUGACCAGCCACACUGGAACUGAGACACGGUCCAGACUCCUACGGGAGGCAGCAGUGGGGAAUAUUGCACAAUGGGCGCAAGCCUGAUGCAGCCAUGCCGCGUGUAUGAAGAAGGCCUUCGGGUUGUAAAGUACUUUCAGCGGGGAGGAAGGCGAUGUGGUUAAUAACCGCAUCGAUUGACGUUACCCGCAGAAGAAGCACCGGCUAACUCCGUG